Non-coding RNA from Jatropha curcas, 519 nucleotides. The record is from RefSeq and is a predicted model, not a curated record. Lineage: Eukaryota; Viridiplantae; Streptophyta; Magnoliopsida; Malpighiales; Euphorbiaceae.
CCCAAAAUGGGUUUCACCAAACCUUUCCGGUCAAUUUCCGGCCAAAUAGUUCAUAUCCACCUUGAUUUGAAUACAUAUUAGUGAUCCUCUCAUCGAAACGAAUAAAAUGAUAUAUUGUUUGUUAAUUUUGGUGAAGAUUUGACUUUUUCGGCAACCGUGCACGGCGGCGGUCCGGCGACCGGCCGGCGAGGCUCCGGCAGGACUUCAAAGGCAGAAUGUUCUCCUCUUUGCGCGGAUCACGGAAAUCAAAUCCGAUUUUCGAUCGGUUUAUAAAGUACAAAAUGCGAGGACAAAAGCUAGAAGCAUGUGGCUAAAAAGGCAGUCCUUUUAAAGGACAAUAACGAACUGUAAUAGAAAGAAAGAAAAGCCCUAUGAAGUUGAGACACUUAUUGUAGAAGACGGUUAAUGAUAGAAAUAACGAUAUAAAUAUAAAGGUAGAGUUCCGCAAUUGUAUUCCAGUUGGGUUGUAAAUAAAUAAUAAAAGUCCAUAUUAAACAUAUGAACUGUAUUUUAGAUGCA